Molecule: non-coding RNA, 87 nt
Filed under: unclassified sequences
Source: RNAcentral
ACUUUUCUGCCACCGGGUAGAGAAGAUAUGCGUCAGACUUUCUAUCGUUAGGUCUUAGAAGAUAGAGGGUGCUGGCGCUUUUUUUGA